Molecule: non-coding RNA, 118 nt
Organism: Thalassomonas actiniarum
Lineage: Bacteria; Pseudomonadati; Pseudomonadota; Gammaproteobacteria; Alteromonadales; Colwelliaceae
Source: Rfam
UACUAUGAACAGCAACAUCCUCUUUAGCUUCUUUUUUACUCUGCCUGGUCGGAGGGGUUAACGUCGCAAAGAAGAAGUAAAGACGAUGAAAACCUCCUCUACGGGAGGUUUUUUUUUG